AUGAGGGCUGAUGACUCUAUUCCACCUGCUGAUGAAAUUUCUAGGGCAACCACUAGUUUUGCGCCUAAGGAACAAUCCAGGCCAGCUGAGCGAUCAACCACUGAGCCUGAAGAAACUGAACCAACCAGGCCAACUGCAUCAGUUGUGCCUGAGGUAAAUGUACCAAUUUCCUCUGCUCCUCCUUCACCAACACCAAGUCCAGUUCUUCCUUCUGCAUCAGAAGCAAAGAAAACCAAGGCUGCGGAGCGAGGAGCAGUGAAGAAAAGGAAAUCAUCUGCUCCAUCAGAUUCUUCAGCCCCGAAGAAGAUGAAGACAUUAACCAGCUCAUUUGAGAAUCCUAUUGAUGAUGUUCCCAUCUCUAGUAUGCCAUCAAAGGAACUCAUUACUUUUGGUAAAGAUUAUGAGAUCCCAAGCGGAUCUGAUGAAGACAUUCCUUCUGCUGCUUCUUCAGAGCAGUUGGACGAAGAAAUUGAAGCGAAUAAUAUCCCUUCAACCCCAGUCGUGUCAUCGCCUAUGCCUCAGUUCACAGCCGAAGAGGCAGGCAUUGUAGAAUUGAAUGAAGAAGAUGAAGACAUGGACAUUGGGAGCACCACUUGA
Molecule: ribosomal RNA, 597 nt
Filed under: Triticum aestivum (bread wheat)
Lineage: Eukaryota; Viridiplantae; Streptophyta; Magnoliopsida; Poales; Poaceae
Description: partial small subunit ribosomal RNA
Source: RNAcentral